UACGAAGGGGGCUAGCGUUGCUCGGAAUCACUGGGCGUAAAGGGUGCGUAGGCGGGUCUUUAAGUCAGGGGUGAAAUCCUGGAGCUCAACUCCAGAACUGCCCUUGAUACUGAGGAUCUUGAGUUCGGGAGAGGUGAGUGGAACUGCGAGUGUAGAGGUGAAAUUCGUAGAUAUUGGGAAGAACACCAGUGGCGAAGGCGGCUAACUGGUCCGGUACUGACGCUGAGGUGCGAAAGCGUGGGGAGCAAACAGG
This 253-nucleotide ribosomal RNA is filed under the name uncultured bacterium. RNAcentral describes it as "partial 16S ribosomal RNA". It matches the Rfam family "Bacterial small subunit ribosomal RNA", at positions 524 to 776 of the family's 1533-position model. The record is from RNAcentral.